AUUGUGUCUCAAUCCUAAAAUGUCUUGGUGAUGCUAAACUCCUGGCCAUCUCUGUAGAUGUGUCGAAUGGGAGAAUGCAUGAAACAGUGACGUGUGAAACGGCGGACACUGUCGCUUUAACAAACAGACAGCUAGAUCCAGCAUUUCCAAUGUGUGGGUUUGCAGUGAUUAUCUUUUCAUUCGCAACCUUGAGCUGCCCUUGCCUGUUCCUAUUCAUUUCUGUUCUCCUUUAUUGUAUUUUUUUUUUACCGGCUCCCAGAGUUUUCACUUUGCUGUAUCUAUUAUAUGUAUUCGAUCCAUUCUGUGUUUCUCUCGCUCGCUCGCCGCUGUACUAAUAAUCGCUUCUUUUUCUCUCUCUCUCUCUGUCUUUGGCAGCUCCAGUCUAGUGGCAAUGCGAACAGGAAUGAAACUCCUGUGGAUGGAAAUAAAGAAAAGGCGGAAAACUCUUCCGGUAAGCCGACAGAGGAGGAAGAGGAGGUGGAUAUCGAUCUGAAAGCGCCGGAGACAGAGAAAGCGGCCCUCGCCAUCCAGAACCAGUUCCGACGAUUCCAGAAAAAGAAGAAAUGAGGAAUGGAAGAGAAAAACACCCCAAUUACAAUGAAGCAUGACCCCCUCUCUCCCUCUCUCCCUCCCCCCGGCAACUCUCAUCCCCUCUCUGUCUGAUUGAAUCCCCCUGAAGAGAAUCUGUGAACUCACUGUUAUCAAGCGAUAUUAUUAUUAUUAUUAUUAUUAUUAUUAUUAUUAUUAUUAUUAUUAUUAUUAUUAUUAAUCUGGCAGACGCCUUUAUCCCAGGCGACUCAUACAUGUGUUAUAGGACAGUACAGGGUUACAAUACUUUGUAUUUAAAUACAGUGUAAGUGUACAGUCAGUGCAAAUAAUAAUAAUAAUACUACUAGAAUACACUAUGAACAUGAUGCAACAAGUUAGGAUUACAGCCAGCUAUAUCUAUAACGACAUAGUAAAACAAUACACAGGGCACUUCUGGGAACUGAAAAAGUAUUGCAUAGAUUUCAAGCAACACGGUACACUGUCGUACAAGGGACGAGAGAUAUCUUCAUCUAUUGCUCUUCGGUUAGGUUACGACUCCAUGUACACCAGCACAGCUCGGGCUUUUCAAUUCACACCCCGGUGGAUUCUGGGAAGUGUAGUCCUGCUGUGAAAGGUACACCCGAUUCGAUUCAGAUCAGUCGAUUCAAUGGGACAUUAUCAUCCCAUAGGAAUGGGCCAGUAGGUACCUGCUAGCCUCCCACAACAGGUAGAGUCUGUCCAGAUCAAGCACUUUAAUGGUCGCCGGAUGUAGUAGCCGCUAGAGGGCGCUAAAAAGCGGUGUUGAAAUAAUAGUACAUAUUUAAUAGUAACAGUUAGGGUUAGGGGCUGAGAUUAGGUUUAGGGGUAGACUAUAGUUUUAAGGGUAUGGGGGGUAGAUUUGGGGGUUAGUAGGCUAGUAGGUACCUACUGGUCCAUCCCGAUGGGAUGAUUUUUGCUUGAUAACGUCCCAUUCAAAUGACUGAUCUCAAACAGAUCGGCUGACCUGAGACAGGUCAAACGGACCACAAUGCACUGGGUGGGAGAUGUCUUCAAACUGGAAAGCCUACAAGGAGAUUUGAAAUUAUCAGCCUGUUUUUUUAAAAAAAAAAAUGAUCCCGUUCUACAUUUCGUUUAAGCCAUGUGAUGACAACGGUAUAGCUGUAAUAAAUAACCUGUAUCGUUUAUAUAUAUUUAUUGUUGAUAUUUUUGCUAGUUUAUACCUAAUCGUGGUAUAUUAAUUAUAUAUACAUAUAGUUUCAAUCUCUCGAUUUCAUGCUGAUAUAUUGCUGACGCUAUAAACUGUAGCGUUAAUUACACUGUGGUAGAUGCACACACUUGCGUGUGCAGUGACGUUGACGUUGUUAGAGAUCCCUGUGUUCGAUUAUGAUGUCACUCUAACACGUCAAUGCACUUCGCUCUCCAGCUGUGAUAAAAAAACGCACGAAUGCAAAUCAUGCACUUCUCAGUGGAUCCACGACGUCAUUGACCUCACACUAAUCCCCGCGUCAUCUGUGUGCGCUUCAUGGGUGUUCAUUUGAAAGCGAUCAAACACCCUGUUUUUAUUAAAAAAAAAACUAGAAUCAAACGAGUGAAGUUAUAUAUUGCGAAUUCUCUCAAACGGGUUAAAUGUGGCUUUAUAUAUAUAUAUAUAUAUAUAUAUAUAUAUAUAUAUAUAUAUAUAUAUAUAUAUAUAUAUAUAUAUAUAUAUAUUAUGUGUUUAUUUAGCAGACGCCUUUAUCCAAGGCGACGCACAAAGACUAAGGUGUGUGAACUAUGCAUCAGCUGCAGAGUCACUUACAACUACGUCUCACCCGAAAGACGGAGCACAAGGAGGUGAAGUGACUUGCUCAGGGUCACAGAGUGAGUCAGUGGCUGAGGUGGGAUUUGGACCUCCUGGUUACAAGCCCUUUUCUUUAACCACUGGACCACACAGCCUAUAAUUUCUGUAACAGUAACAUGAUUUUGUGCAGGGAACGCUUUGAAAUUAGGACCCCCAAUGCCUCACGUAAUACCAUACGGUUAAAGAAACGUUCUUGUUUUGCAGUCGCCCGUGUGUUUUAACACUGUGAUUACUGCUGUGGUUCGACAACAAAGGCGGGCACGCCUUCUUUGACAAGGGAGAACGGAACGAGGUCGCGCUGAAGCUGUCAGGGGGUGGUUCAGAUGUUACAAACAGCAAUGUUUGUAAUCUUCUGAAACGCCCAAGCUUUCAAUUACUCGCAUCUGUUUUCUUUAUUCCAUAAAUGACGUGCAAUGGCUGUGUUUUUGUUUAUUUUUUAUUUUAAUUGUGUUUAUUAUUCCAAAGGACAGUAAUGCUACAAACAGUAACCUCUGCAUACGUGUUUAAUGAACAUUCCCAGGACCUGAGAAGUCAGGAGUUCAGUAUAUGAUAGAAUACGUCACUGUUUGUUUGACUGUGAAAAUUCAACCCCCCCUCCUCCUCCUCCUCCUCCUCCUCCCCCCAUUGAAUCUGUACUUGUAUUGAAUUGUAAUACUCGAUAAUGAAGCUACAAUAAAAGCGACCAGUCCAUAUUCUGGAACCUGCUCUGAGAAUUCA
Molecule: long non-coding RNA, 3085 nt
Organism: Acipenser ruthenus (sterlet)
Lineage: Eukaryota; Metazoa; Chordata; Actinopteri; Acipenseriformes; Acipenseridae
Exons: 2
Source: RefSeq, a predicted model, not a curated record